CCAAUGUCCGUGGAGGUGAUGUGCUGCAAGUAAGUUUCCAGGGCUGACAUCACUGGGGCUUUGCGGCAGCAGCUCCUCAGCCCCUUGCGGAAACGUAUGGCGAACAGGCCGUAGAUGAUGGGGUCCAGGCAAGCAUUGAAAAGCCCAAAGAUGAACAGGAUGUGGGUGAGGGAGUGAGAGACUUUUCCCUCCAGGUCAUCUGGGAAGAACCAGUACCACAAACCCAACAGCUUUUGGGAUGUUGUUCUUUGAGCAACGGAGAUGUGGCUCAUUUGAGGACACUGGAGGAAAGAAAGAAAGAAAGAAAUCAGAUCUGGAUGAAGAUCCUGGUGUAGCAGAUAAUCAUUAUGACCAGUGGCAGCAGGAAGAGGCAGGAGAAGGUGAACAUGUUGUAGGCUGUUUCCUGCCACCCGCACAACUGACAGACUGGAAAUGAGAAGCUGCUUUUGUCUUCCUCUUUCUGAAAUAAAAGAGCUACUGUUUCAAAAAAA
Micropterus dolomieu (smallmouth bass) is the source of this 491-nucleotide long non-coding RNA. RefSeq lists it as uncharacterized. NCBI's taxonomy places the organism in Eukaryota, Metazoa, Chordata, Actinopteri, Centrarchiformes, Centrarchidae. The record is from RefSeq and is a predicted model, not a curated record. The transcript has 5 exons.